AACGAACGCUGGCGGCAUGCCUAACACAUGCAAGUCGAACGAAACCUUCGGGUUUAGUGGCGCACGGGUGCGUAACGCGUGGGAACCUGCCCUUAGGUUCGGAAUAACUCCCGGAAACUGGUGCUAAUACCGGAUAAUCUCUUCGGACCAAAGAUUUAUCGCCAUUGGAGCGGCCCGCGUUGGAUUAGCUAGUUGGUAGGGUAAAGGCCUACCAAGGCGACGAUCAGUAGCUGGUCUGAGAGGAUGAUCAGCCACACUGGGACUGAGACACGGCCCAGACUCCUACGGGAGGCAGCAGUGGGGAAUCCUGCGCAAUGGGCGAAAGCCUGACGCAGCAAUGCCGCGUGAGUGAUGAAGGUCUUAGGGUUGUAAAGUUCUUUUACCCGGGACGAUAAUGACAGUACCCGGAGAAUAAGCCCCGGCUAACUUCGUG
Molecule: ribosomal RNA, 433 nt
Filed under: uncultured bacterium
Lineage: Bacteria
Description: partial 16S ribosomal RNA
Rfam family: Bacterial small subunit ribosomal RNA
Source: RNAcentral